RNAcentral lists this ribosomal RNA (516 nucleotides) under uncultured bacterium. RNAcentral describes it as "bacterial SSU rRNA". It matches the Rfam family "Bacterial small subunit ribosomal RNA", at positions 10 to 523 of the family's 1533-position model. The record is from RNAcentral.
AGUUUGAUCCUGGCUCAGAGUGAACGCUGGCGGCAUGCCUUACACAUGCAAGUCGAACGGUAACAGGUCUUCGGAUGCUGACGAGUGGCGAACGGGUGAGUAAUACAUCGGAGCGUGCCCGAUCGUGGGGGAUAACGGAGCGAAAGCUUUGCUAAUACCGCAUACGAUCUACGGAUGAAAGCAGGGGACCGCAAGGCCUUGCGCGGACGGAGCGGCUGAUGGCAGAUUAGGUAGUUGGUGGGAUAAAAGCUUACCAAGCCGACGAUCUGUAGCUGGUCUGAGAGGACGACCAGCCACACUGGGACUGAGACACGGCCCAGACUCCUACGGGAGGCAGCAGUGGGGAAUUUUGGACAAUGGGCGAAAGCCUGAUCCAGCCAUGCCGCGUGCAGGAUGAAGGCCUUCGGGUUGUAAACUGCUUUUGUACGGAACGAAAAGCCUCUUUCUAAUAAAGAGAGGUCAUGACGGUACCGUAAGAAUAAGCACCGGCUAACUACGUGCCAGCAGCCGCGGUAA